AAUCAACGCUGGCGGCGUGCCUAACACAUGCAAGUCGAACGCGAAAAGCCCUUUCGGGGGUAAGUAGAGUGGCGUCCGGGUGAGUAACACGUAGGUAAUCUACCUUCGGGUGGGGAAGUAACUCGCCGAAAGGCGAGCUAAUACCGCAUAAUGCAGCGGCACCUAAUGGUGAUUAGUUGUUAAAGCGGGGGAGUCGUAAGACCUCGCGCCUGAAGAGGAGCCUGCGGCAGAUUAGCUAGNGGUGAGGUAAUGGCUCACCAAGGCUUCGAUCUGUAGCUGGUCUGAGAGGACGGCCAACCACACUGGCACUGACACACGGGCCAGACUCCUACGGGAGGCAGCAGUGGGGGAAUUUUGGGUCAAUGGGCGCAAAGCCUGACCCAGCAACGCCGCGUGAGGGAGG
This 403-nucleotide ribosomal RNA is filed under the name uncultured bacterium. Its description in RNAcentral is "bacterial SSU rRNA". It matches the Rfam family "Bacterial small subunit ribosomal RNA", at positions 32 to 410 of the family's 1533-position model. The record is from RNAcentral.